Molecule: ribosomal RNA, 464 nt
Filed under: uncultured bacterium
Lineage: Bacteria
Description: partial 16S ribosomal RNA
Rfam family: Bacterial small subunit ribosomal RNA
Source: RNAcentral
CCUACGGGAGGCAGCAGUAGGGAAUUUUCGUCAAUGGGCGCAAGCCUGAACGAGCAAUGCCGCGUGAACGAGGAAGGUCUUCGGAUCGUAAAGUUCUGUUGAAGGGGGAAAAGAGCGGAGAGAGGAAAUGGUCUCCGAUUGAUAUUACCCUUCGAGGAAGUCACGGCUAACUCCGUGCCAGCAGCCGCGGUAAUACGUCGGUGGCGAGCGUUAUCCGGAUUGAUUGGGAGUAAAGGGUGCGUAGGCGGCCUGCUAAGUCUGGAGUGAAAGGUACCGGCUCAACCGGUACAGGCUCUGGAAACUGGCGGGCUAGAGAGCAGGAGAGGGCGGUGGAACUCCAUGUGUAGCGGUAAAAUGCGUAGAUAUAUGGAAGAACACCAGUGGCGAAGGCAGCCGCCUGGCCUGUUACUGACGCUGAGGCACGAAAGCGUGGGGAGCAAAUAGGAUUAGAUACCCCAGUAGUC